CAGUCGAGCGGAACGAGUUAUCUGAACCUUCGGGGAACGAUAACGGCGUCGAGCGGCGGACGGGUGAGUAAUGCCUAGGAAAUUGCCCUGAUGUGGGGGAUAACCAUUGGAAACGAUGGCUAAUACCGCAUGAUGCCUACGGGCCAAAGAGGGGGACCUUCGGGCCUCUCGCGUCAGGAUAUGCCUAGGUGGGAUUAGCUAGUUGGUGAGGUAAGGGCUCACCAAGGCGACGAUCCCUAGCUGGUCUGAGAGGAUGAUCAGCCACACUGGAACUGAGACACGGUCCAGACUCCUACGGGAGGCAGCAGUGGGGAAUAUUGCACAAUGGGCGCAAGCCUGAUGCAGCCAUGCCGCGUGUGUGAAGAAGGCCUUCGGGUUGUAAAGCACUUUCAGUCGUGAGGAAGGUGGUGUAGUUAAUAGCUGCAUUAUUUGACGUUAGCGACAGAAGAAGCACCGGCUAACUCCGUGCCAGCAGCC
RNAcentral lists this ribosomal RNA (477 nucleotides) under bacterium BSD4-4. RNAcentral's name for it is "bacterial SSU rRNA". It matches the Rfam family "Bacterial small subunit ribosomal RNA", at positions 59 to 516 of the family's 1533-position model. The record is from RNAcentral.